AGACGAACCGUCCAAACGUUAUUCGGUAUCACUGGGCUUAAAGAGUUCGUAGGCGGCCUGGUAGGUGAGAUGUGAAAUCCCACGGCUCAACCGUGGAACUGCGUUUCAAACCACCAGGCUUGAGGGAGAUAGAGGUGAGCGGAACAGAUGGUGGAGCGGUGAAAUGCGUUGAUAUUAUCUGGAACACCGGUGGCGAAAGCGGCUCACUGGAUCUCUUCUGACGCUGAGGAACGAAAGCUAGGGUAGCGAACGGGAUUAGAAACCCCAGUAGUCC
This 274-nucleotide ribosomal RNA is filed under the name uncultured bacterium. Its description in RNAcentral is "partial 16S ribosomal RNA". It matches the Rfam family "Bacterial small subunit ribosomal RNA", at positions 523 to 796 of the family's 1533-position model. The record is from RNAcentral.